RNAcentral lists this ribosomal RNA (448 nucleotides) under uncultured bacterium. Its description in RNAcentral is "SSU rRNA". It matches the Rfam family "Bacterial small subunit ribosomal RNA", at positions 26 to 518 of the family's 1533-position model. The record is from RNAcentral.
AGAGCGAACGCUGGCGGCAGGCUUAACACAUGCAAGUCGAGCGGGCGUAGCAAUACGUCAGCGGCAGACGGGUGAGUAACGCGUGGGAACGUACCUUUUGGUUCGGAACAACACAGGGAAACUUGUGCUAAUACCGGAUAAGCCCUUACGGGGAAAGAUUUAUCGCCGAAAGAUCGGCCCGCGUCUGAUUAGCUAGUUGGUGAGGUAAUGGCUCGCCAAGGCGACGAUCAGUAGCUGGUCUGAGAGGAUGAUCAGCCACAUUGGGACUGAGACACGGCCCAAACUCCUACGGGAGGCAGCAGUGGGGAAUAUUGGACAAUGGGCGCAAGCCUGAUCCAGCCAUGCCGCGUGAGUGAUGAAGGCCCUAGGGUUGUAAAGCUCUUUUGUGCGGGAAGAUAAUGACGGUACCGCAAGAAUAAGCCCCGGCUAACUUCGCGCCAGCAGCCGC